Molecule: long non-coding RNA, 630 nt
Filed under: Prunus persica (peach)
Lineage: Eukaryota; Viridiplantae; Streptophyta; Magnoliopsida; Rosales; Rosaceae
Description: long non-coding RNA (PPER_LNC002090)
Source: RNAcentral
UGAUAUAUUAGUGGAAAGCUAGAUGCGUUGGCUUUUCUUCUUUACAUCAACAUAAUGGUUAGUAUUAUAAAUAAUAGUGCAGCACAAAAAUUAUACCUGAGAGCUUCUCGUGCUGAUAACGUGUUAUAAAAUAACCUGGGAUAUGUGCGAUAAUUCAGAGCUGCACGUAAAGUAGAUGAGACACAGCAUUUAACGAGGUUCGGCUAUGCCUAUGUCCUCGGAGAGCAGCAGCAGUGACUUUUCCACUAUGUAACGUGUUAUAAAAUAACCUGGGAUAUGUGCGAUAAUUCAGAGCUGCACGUAAAGUAGAUGAGACACAGUAUUUAACGAGGUUCGGCUAUGCCUACGUCCUCGGAGAGCAGCAGCAGUAACUUUUUCACUAUGUAAAAUAAUAGGGCUACAAGUUUAGUGUUUACAAUAUAUGUGGCUCAUUGAAUUCUCUCUAGGAGAAUUUCUCUCUGCUCUCUCUUUCCUCUUUCUUCCUUCUCUUCCUUUUUCUUUUUUCUUCUCUUCUUCUUUCCGUUUCUCUUCUUAUUUAUAGGCUGAAAUAAUCACUAUUCAUCACUAUUCAUCACUGUUCACCCGUGACAGACAAACUCUAUCAAAGCCGCCAAAUGAACAGUAANNNNN